RNAcentral lists this ribosomal RNA (449 nucleotides) under uncultured bacterium. RNAcentral describes it as "partial 16S ribosomal RNA". It matches the Rfam family "Bacterial small subunit ribosomal RNA", at positions 29 to 523 of the family's 1533-position model. The record is from RNAcentral.
AGCGAACGCUGGCGGCAGGCCUAACACAUGCAAGUCGAACGAGGUCUUCGGACUUAGUGGCGGACGGGUGAGUAACACGUGGGAACGUACCUUUUGGUUCGGAACAACUCAGGGAAACUUGAGCUAAGACCGGAUGAGCCCUUAGGGGGAAAGAUUUAUCGCCGAAAGAGCGGCCCGCGUUAGAUUAGCUAGGUGGUGAGGUAAAGGCUCACCAAGGCUACGAUCUAUAGCUGGUCUGAGAGGAUGACCAGCCACACUGGGACUGAGACACGGCCCAGACUCCUACGGGAGGCAGCAGUGGGGAAUCUUGCGCAAUGGGCGAAAGCCUGACGCAGCCAUGCCGCGUGAAUGAUGAAGGUCUUAGGAUUGUAAAAUUCUUUUACCAGGGACGAUAAUGACGGUACCUGGAGAAAAAGCCCCGGCUAACUUCGUGCCAGCAGCCGCCGUAA